AUUGAACGCUGGCGGCAUGCUUUACACAUGCAAGUCGAACGGCAGCGCGGGCUUCGGCCUGGCGGCGAGUGGCGAACGGGUGAGUAAUGCAUCGGAACGUGCCCAGUAGUGGGGGAUAGCCCGGCGAAAGCCGGAUUAAUACCGCAUACGACCUGAGGGUGAAAGCGGGGGACCGAAAGGCCUCGCGCUAUUGGAGCGGCCGAUGUCGGAUUAGCUAGUUGGUGGGGUAAAGGCUUACCAAGGCGACGAUCCGUAGCUGGUCUGAGAGGACGACCAGCCACACUGGGACUGAGACACGGCCCAGACUCCUACGGGAGGCAGCAGUGGGGAAUUUUGGACAAUGGGGGCAACCCUGAUCCAGCCAUGCCGCGUGCGGGAAGAAGGCCUUCGGGUUGUAAACCGCUUUUGUUCGGGAAGAAAUCCUCUGGGCUAAUACCCCGGGGGGAUGACGGUACCGGAAGAAUAAGCACUGGCUAACUACGUG
This 484-nucleotide ribosomal RNA is filed under the name uncultured bacterium. RNAcentral describes it as "partial 16S ribosomal RNA". It matches the Rfam family "Bacterial small subunit ribosomal RNA", at positions 28 to 507 of the family's 1533-position model. The record is from RNAcentral.